Molecule: ribosomal RNA, 253 nt
Filed under: uncultured bacterium
Lineage: Bacteria
Description: partial 16S ribosomal RNA
Rfam family: Bacterial small subunit ribosomal RNA
Source: RNAcentral
GACAGAGGUGCCAAGCGUUAGGCGGAAUCACUGGGCUUAAAGCGUGUGUAGGCGGACUUGUAAGUACCUUGUGAAAUCCCACGGCUCAACCGUGGAACUGCUUGGUAUACUGCUUGUCUUGAGCCACUUAGGGGCUACCGGAACAAAUGGUGGAGCGGUGAAAUGCGUAGAUAUCGGAAGGAACACCGGUGGCGAAAGCGGCGCGCUGGACCUCUUCUGACGCUGAGGCGCGAAAGCCAGGGGAGCGAACAGG